RNAcentral lists this non-coding RNA (93 nucleotides) under uncultured Christensenella sp. Its description in RNAcentral is "TPP riboswitch (THI element)". It matches the Rfam family "TPP riboswitch aptamer (THI element)", at positions 9 to 90 of the family's 105-position model. From Rfam's summary of the family: Vitamin B(1) in its active form thiamin pyrophosphate (TPP) is an essential coenzyme that is synthesised by coupling of pyrimidine and thiazole moieties in bacteria. The previously detected thiamin-regulatory element, thi box was extended, resulting in a new, highly conserved RNA secondary structure, the THI element, which is widely distributed in eubacteria and also occurs in some archaea. Lineage: Bacteria; Bacillati; Bacillota; Clostridia; Christensenellales; Christensenellaceae. The record is from RNAcentral.
AGCAGGGGAGUCGCCGCAGGGCGGCUGAGAGUAAGCAAGAGCUUAGACCCGUUGAACCUGAUCCGGUUAAUACUGGCGGAGGGAGCGCUUUUU